RNAcentral lists this ribosomal RNA (297 nucleotides) under uncultured bacterium. RNAcentral describes it as "partial 16S ribosomal RNA". It matches the Rfam family "Bacterial small subunit ribosomal RNA", at positions 28 to 334 of the family's 1533-position model. The record is from RNAcentral.
GAUGAACGCUGGCGGCGUGCCUAACACAUGCAAGUUGAGCGAUUUACUUCGGUAAAGAGCGGCGGACGGGUGAGUAACGCGUGGGUAACCUACCCUGUACACACGGAUAACAUACCGAAAGGUAUGCUAAUACGGGAUAACAUAUUUGAGAGGCAUCUCUUAAAUAUCAAAGGUGAGCCAGUACAGGAUGGACCCGCGUCUGAUUAGCUAGUUGGUAAGGUAACGGCUUACCAAGGCGACGAUCAGUAGCCGACCUGAGAGGGUGAUCGGCCACAUUGGAACUGAGACACGGUCCAA